GAUGAACGCUGGCGGCGUGCCUAAUACAUGCAAGUCGAACGAUAGCCUUUCGGGGCUAUAGUGGCGGACGGGUGAGUAACACGUUGGUACCUACCCCUAAGUGGGGAAUAACUGCCCGAAAGGGUGGCUAAUACCGCAUAAUCCCGCAAGGGUAAAGCAGUAAUGCGCUUAGGGAGGGGCCUGCGUCCCAUUAGCUUGUUGGUAGUGUAAUGGACUACCAAGGCGACGAUGGGUAGCUGGAUCGAGAGGUUGACCAGCCACACUGGGACUGAGAUACGGCCCAGACUCCUACGGGAGGCAGCAGUAAGGAAUCUUCCACAAUGGACGAAAGUCUGAUGGAGCAACGCCGCGUGCAGGAUGACGGCCUU
RNAcentral lists this ribosomal RNA (368 nucleotides) under uncultured bacterium. Its description in RNAcentral is "bacterial SSU rRNA". It matches the Rfam family "Bacterial small subunit ribosomal RNA", at positions 28 to 418 of the family's 1533-position model. The record is from RNAcentral.